Molecule: ribosomal RNA, 494 nt
Filed under: uncultured bacterium
Lineage: Bacteria
Description: bacterial SSU rRNA
Rfam family: Bacterial small subunit ribosomal RNA
Source: RNAcentral
AUGAACGCUAGCGCAGGCCUAACACAUGCAAGUCAGGGGCAGCACAAGGAGCAAUCUGAGGUGGCGACCGGCGCACGGGUGAGUAACACGUAUGCAACCUGCCUGUAAGCGGGGAAUAACCCGUUGAAAGACGGACUAAUACCGCAUAAUACUAAAUUACUGCAUGGUAAUUUAUUUAAACAUUUAUGGCUUACAGAUGGGCAUGCGCAUGAUUAGCUAGUUGGAGAGGUAACGGCUCCCCAAGGCAACGAUCAUUAGGGGUUCUGAGAGGAAGGUCCCCCACACUGGUACUGAGACACGGACCAGACUCCUACGGGAGGCAGCAGUGAGGAAUAUUGGUCAAUGGACGAGAGUCUGAACCAGCCAAGUCGCGUGCAGGAAGAAUGUCCUUAAUGGAUUGUAAACUGCUUUUGCAGGGGAAUAAAGUGCAUCACGUGUGAUGUUUUGUAUGUACUCUGCGAAUAAGGAUCGGCUAACUCCGUGCCAGCAGCCGC